Molecule: long non-coding RNA, 1052 nt
Filed under: Equus caballus (horse)
Lineage: Eukaryota; Metazoa; Chordata; Mammalia; Perissodactyla; Equidae
Description: lncRNA (ENSECAG00000052268.1)
Source: RNAcentral
CAGGAGCUCACGUGGCUGAACACACGAGCGGAGGCUCAGGGGCCCGCCGCAGCCUCCUUCCCAGACCAUCAGCUCCACUUCACGGCCUCCUCUCCGGCCUGUGGGGGCCAGGGCGUCGGGGAGACGCUCGGGAGGAAGGCCCACACCUCCCUAACGCUCUGCUGCCCGUGAAGGAUACAGUCUCCCGGCUGACUUGAUAAACAAGCCAUCCACCUUGCAGUGGUGAUGGUGAUGAUGAUGAUGGCGAUGCUGGUGGUGAUGAUGAUGGUGGUGGUGAAGAUGAUGAUGGUGAUGGUGGUGAUGGUGAUGACGAUAACGAUGAUGGUGAUGGUGGUGAAGAUGAUGAUGUUGGUGACGAUGAUGGUGGUGAUGGUGCUGAUGGUGGUGAUGAUGAUGAUGAUGAUGGUAAUAGUGACAAUCCAGCAUCAUUCUAAACAAACAAAGCUCCUACUGGGUGACCCCCAUCUCCCACACUCUGGGCCAAACUCUAAGACCCCAAGAUUGGUCCACACUCUCUGUGUCAGGGUUCUCCAGAGAAACAGAACCAACAGGAGGUGCGUGUGUGUGGAGAGAGAAUUUAUUUCGAGGAAUUGGUUCACGCGAUCGUGGAGACUGGAAAGUCCAGAUUUUGCGGGGUAGACCAGCGGGCUGGAGACCCAGGGAAGAGGUGAUGUGGGAAGUCGAGAAAGAAGGCCAUCUGGAGGCACCGUUCUCAGACUAUUUCAUCAGGAGCAUACGACGGCGAUUUCUUGCGUGUCUCUACUGCCGCUGUGCGGAUGGACCCCAUUCUGUUUAUCCAUUUGUCUGUUGUUGGGUAUUUGGGUUGUUUGCACCUUUUGGUUAUUUGUGAAUAAUUCUGAGGUGAAAAUGCGUGUACAAAUUUUGCGUGAAAAUGUGUUUUCAUUUCUGUUGGGCCUAGGCCUAAGUGUGCGACUGAGGGGUCAAAUGGAAACUGAGGAACAGAACAGGGGUGGACUCAUGGAGGCGUUAGCGUGCCGUCAUAGAUUAGGGAGGCUCAAACAUCAUUGAACAAUGUGACACCCAAGGUGGGC